RNAcentral lists this ribosomal RNA (852 nucleotides) under Triticum aestivum (bread wheat). RNAcentral describes it as "partial small subunit ribosomal RNA". The record is from RNAcentral. Lineage: Eukaryota; Viridiplantae; Streptophyta; Magnoliopsida; Poales; Poaceae.
AUGGACCCCGACGGCAUCGUCCGUGCCUACGUCCACCCUAAGAAUGGUGAUGGCCGCGAGAACACAACAUCUUGGACCGUGUCAGGCACGCUCCCCAGUGAAGGGGGCUGCAAGAUGAAGACGACCCGGAUGCAAGGCAUGUGCGGCCCCGGGUCUUAUUGCGUGGAGACCAAAGAACGGCUCAAAUGCCUAUGCCCGAGCGGGUACACUUAUAUUGACGCGCAGCACAGCGACAGCGGCUGCACGCCAGAGUUGGAGCCGCAGAGCUCUGGCGAGCAGAACAGCCCCGACAAGUUCUCGCUCGUAGAGCUGCCAAACACAACUUGGGAGGUGUCAAUAUACUACAAGAAGUUCCCGUCAGUCUCGGAGGAGCAAUGCCGGGACUACUGCCUCAGCGACUGCUUCUGCGUGGCCGCGCUGAUGAUCGGUGGGUCUGACUGUGCGGAGUUGGGGGCACUCGCGUACGGACGGCAGGGAAACAACCUGACGACAAAGGCGCUGAUCAAGGUGCGGACAAGGAAUUCUCAGUUGAUCACGUCGGCGAGAAUGAGAAAUGCAUUGGCCUACAAGGUUGUGGCCAUUUGCUUGGGCAUUCUUUUCUUGAUCACAGUCGGUGGCCUUCUGGCACAUCAUUACCUCAUCAGGAACAGAGAUAGCCAGAGGUUGUUGAGCUCGAGCGUAAGAGCAUUCAGCUGGAAGGAGCUUUACCAGGCCACCAAUGGCUUCGAGAAACUGCCGGGCAAAGGGAGCUUCGGGGAGGUCUACAAAGGAACGAUAAGAUCACCGCAGCCGCAUCUCAUCGCAGUGAGAGUUAUUUACCCCAAACCACCACAUUAUGGGCCUAAUCUGUAA